ACACCUCAACUCUCAUGGCUUGCCAUGAUGAGCUUGGACUUUGGGGGUCUUGCUGGCCUGUGGUUGGCUCCUCUCAAAUGAAUCAGCUUGCCAGUGUUUGGUGGCAUCACAGGUGUGAUAACUAUCUAUGCUUGUGGUUUUCCACCAGGUUAACCUUCAGUGAUGGAGGUUCGCUGGAGCUCAUAAAUGUCUCUUCUCGGUGAAGACAGCUCUUUGAAC
This 219-nucleotide unclassified non-coding RNA is filed under the name uncultured Tomentella. RNAcentral describes it as "sequence contains ITS2". Lineage: Eukaryota; Fungi; Basidiomycota; Agaricomycetes; Thelephorales; Thelephoraceae. The record is from RNAcentral.